UACGUAGGGGGCAAGCGUUGUCCGGAUUUAUUGGGCGUAAAGCGCGCGUAGGCGGCCACUUAAGUCGGAUGUGAAAGCCCCUGGCUCAACUGGGGAAGUGCACCCGAAACUGAGCGGCUUGAAUGCAAAAGAGGGUCGCGGAAUUCCCGGUGUAGAGGUGAAAUUCGUAGAUAUCGGGAGGAACACCGGUGGCGAAGGCGGCGACCUGGGUUGACAUUGACGCUGAGGCGCGAAAGCGUGGGGAGCAAACAGG
This 253-nucleotide ribosomal RNA is filed under the name uncultured bacterium. RNAcentral's name for it is "partial 16S ribosomal RNA". It matches the Rfam family "Bacterial small subunit ribosomal RNA", at positions 524 to 776 of the family's 1533-position model. The record is from RNAcentral.